This 636-nucleotide ribosomal RNA is filed under the name Silvibacterium sp. Its description in RNAcentral is "bacterial SSU rRNA". It matches the Rfam family "Bacterial small subunit ribosomal RNA", at positions 84 to 752 of the family's 1533-position model. Lineage: Bacteria; Pseudomonadati; Acidobacteriota; Terriglobia; Terriglobales; Acidobacteriaceae. The record is from RNAcentral.
CCAUGAGUAAAGUGGCGCACGGGUGAGUAACACGUGACUAACCUACCCUUGAGUGGGGAAUAACCUAGAGAAAUCUGGGCUAAUACCGCAUAACACCUACGGGUCAAAGGAGCAAUUCGCUUAAGGAGGGGGUCGCGGCAGAUUAGCUAGUUGGCGGGGUAAUGGCCCACCAAGGCGGUGAUCUGUAUCCGGCCUGAGAGGGCGCACGGACACACUGGAACUGAAACACGGUCCAGACUCCUACGGGAGGCAGCAGUGGGGAAUUUUGCGCAAUGGGGGAAACCCUGACGCAGCAACGCCGCGUGGAGGAUGAAGUCCCUUGGGACGUAAACUCCUUUCGAUCGGGACGAUUAUGACGGUACCGAGAGAAGAAGCCCCGGCUAACUUCGUGCCAGCAGCCGCGGUAAUACGAGGGGGGCGAGCGUUGUUCGGAAUUAUUGGGCGUAAAGGGUGCGUAGGCGGUUCGGUAAGUCUUAUGUGAAAUCUUCGGGCUCAACUCGAAGUCUGCAUGAGAAACUGCCGGGCUUGAGUGUGGGAGAGGUGAGUGGAAUUUCCGGUGUAGCGGUGAAAUGCGUAGAUAUCGGAAGGAACACCUGUGGCGAAAGCGGCUCACUGGACCACAACUGACGCUGAUGC